CCCCUAGAUGUUCUGGGCCGCACGCGCGCUACACUGAACAGUUCAACAAGUCUUAACCUUGGCCGAUAGGUCUGGGUAAUCUUUGAACGCUGUUCGUGAUUGGGAUAGACCUUUGCAAUUAUGGGUCUUCAACGAGGAAUUCCUAGUAAACGCAAGUCAUCAGCUUGCAUUGAUUACGUCCCUGCCCUUUGUACACACCGCCCGUCGCACCUACCGAUUGAAUGGUCCGGAGAAAUCUCGGGACGGCGGCUUGGUCGCUUGCGUCCGACUGCUGAAACUUGAUUAAACCAUAUCAUUUAGAGGAAGGUGAAGUCGUAACA
RNAcentral lists this ribosomal RNA (320 nucleotides) under uncultured eukaryote. RNAcentral describes it as "partial 18S ribosomal RNA". It matches the Rfam family "Eukaryotic small subunit ribosomal RNA", at positions 1470 to 1796 of the family's 1831-position model. The record is from RNAcentral.